This 468-nucleotide ribosomal RNA is filed under the name uncultured bacterium. RNAcentral's name for it is "bacterial SSU rRNA". It matches the Rfam family "Bacterial small subunit ribosomal RNA", at positions 28 to 507 of the family's 1533-position model. The record is from RNAcentral.
GAUGAACGCUGGCGGCGUGCUUAACACAUGCAAGUCGAACGAAGAUGCCGGAGUGCUUGCACUUUGGCAGACUGAGUGGCGGACGGGUGAGUAACGCGUGGGUAACCUGCCUUAUACAGGGGGAUAACAGUUGGAAACGACUGCUAAUACCGCAUAAGCGCACGGUAUCGCAUGAUACAGUGUGAAAAACUCCGGUGGUAUAAGAUGGACCCGCGUCUGAUUAGCUAGUUGGUGAGGUAACGGCCCACCAAGGCGACGAUCAGUAGCCGGACUGAGAGGUUGAACGGCCACAUUGGGACUGAGAUACGGCCCAGACUCCUACGGGAGGCAGCAGUGGGGAAUAUUGGGCAAUGGCGCAAGCCUGACCCAGCAACGCCGCGUGAAGGAGAAGGCUUUCGGGUUGUAAACUUCUUUUAAGAGGAAGAGCAGAAGACUGUACCUCUAGAAUAAGCCACGGCUAACUACGUG